GAUGAACGCUGGCGGCGUGCCUAAUACAUGCAAGUCGAGCGAACAGACGAGGAGCUUGCUCCUCUGACGUUAGCGGCGGACGGGUGAGUAACACGUGGAUAACCUACCUAUAAGACUGGGAUAACUUCGGGAAACCGGAGCUAAUACCGGAUAAUAUAUUGAACCGCAUGGUUCAAUAGUGAAAGACGGUUUUGCUGUCACUUAUAGAUGGAUCCGCGCCGCAUUAGCUAGUUGGUAAGGUAACGGCUUACCAAGGCGACGAUGCGUAGCCGACCUGAGAGGGUGAUCGGCCACAAUGGAACUGAGACACGGUCCAGACUCCUACAGGAGGCAGCAGUAGGGAAUCUUCCGCAAUGGGCGAAAGCCUGACGGAGCAACGCCGCGUGAGUGAUGAAGGUCUUCGGAUCGUAAAACUCUGUUAUUAGGGAAGAACAAAUGUGUAAGUAACUAUACACGUCUUGACGGUACCUAAUCAGAAAGCCACGGCUAACUACGUG
This 497-nucleotide ribosomal RNA is filed under the name uncultured bacterium. RNAcentral's name for it is "partial 16S ribosomal RNA". It matches the Rfam family "Bacterial small subunit ribosomal RNA", at positions 28 to 507 of the family's 1533-position model. The record is from RNAcentral.